GUGGGGAAUAUUCCGCAAUGGACGAAAGUCUGACGGAGCAACGCCGCGUGAGUGAAGAAGGUUUUCGGAUCGUAAAGCUCUUUCGUUAGGGACGAACGUGCUCUUUGUGAAUAAUGAGGAGUAAUGACGGUACCUAAAUAAGAAGCCACGGCUAACUACGUGCCAGCAGCCGCGGUAAUACGUAGGUGGCAAGCGUUGUCCGGAAUUAUUGGGCGUAAAGCGCGCGCAGGCGGGAUAUCAAGUCUGUCUUAAAAGUGCGAGGCUCAACCUCGUGAGGGGACAGAAACUGGUAUUCUUGAGUGUCGGAGAGGAAAGUGGAAUUCCAAGUGUAGCGGUGAAAUGCGUAGAGAUUUGGAAGAACACCAGUGGCGAAGGCGACUUUCUGGACGAUGUCUGACGCUGAGGCGCGAAAGCUAGGGCAGCGAACGGGAUUAGAUACCCGAGUAGUCC
RNAcentral lists this ribosomal RNA (450 nucleotides) under uncultured bacterium. RNAcentral's name for it is "partial 16S ribosomal RNA". It matches the Rfam family "Bacterial small subunit ribosomal RNA", at positions 354 to 796 of the family's 1533-position model. The record is from RNAcentral.